CGGGUCUGUCUGUCUGCUCUUGUCUUGUAUUGUGCUGACUUUGAUGAUUUUUUUUUAUGACUAGAUUUAAAUAUAGUGACAGUGCAGUAUUAUACUUUAAGUACUAGUACUGCUUAAUUCGACACUAGGGACCAUCUUGACCUUCUUUUACAGUAUUAAUGAUUCUUUUAUUUUUGAGUACCCUCCAGCAACUAUCAAGAUGAAGAACAGGAAUAAAAAUUUUGACCAUUGAUCAUUUGUAUUUUUU
Molecule: long non-coding RNA, 247 nt
Filed under: Mytilus galloprovincialis (Mediterranean mussel)
Lineage: Eukaryota; Metazoa; Mollusca; Bivalvia; Mytilida; Mytilidae
Source: RNAcentral